AUUGAACGCUGGCGGCAGGCCUAACACAUGCAAGUCGAGCGGAUGAAGGGAGCUUGCUCCUGGAUUCAGCGGCGGACGGGUGAGUAAUGCCUAGGAAUCUGCCUGGUAGUGGGGGAUAACGUCCGGAAACGGGCGCUAAUACCGCAUACGUCCUGAGGGAGAAAGUGGGGGAUCUUCGGACCUCACGCUAUCAGAUGAGCCUAGGUCGGAUUAGCUAGUUGGUGGGGUAAAGGCCUACCAAGGCGACGAUCCGUAACUGGUCGGAGAGGAUGAUCAGUCACACUGGAACUGAGACACGGUCCAGACUCCUACGGGAGGCAGCAGUGGGGAAUAUUGGACAAUGGGCGAAAGCCUGAUCCAGCCAUGCCGCGUGUGUGAAGAAGGUCUUCGGAUUGUAAAGCACUUUAAGUUGGGAGGAAGGGCAGUAAGUUAAUACCUUGCUGUUUUGACGUUACCAACAGAAUAAGCACCGGCUAACUUCGUG
This 484-nucleotide ribosomal RNA is filed under the name uncultured bacterium. RNAcentral's name for it is "partial 16S ribosomal RNA". It matches the Rfam family "Bacterial small subunit ribosomal RNA", at positions 30 to 507 of the family's 1533-position model. The record is from RNAcentral.